Molecule: ribosomal RNA, 253 nt
Filed under: uncultured bacterium
Lineage: Bacteria
Description: partial 16S ribosomal RNA
Rfam family: Bacterial small subunit ribosomal RNA
Source: RNAcentral
UACGGAGGGGGCUAGCGUUGUUCGGAUUCAUUGGGCGUAAAGGGUGCGUAGGUGGCGCCAUAAGUCAGGUGUGAAAUCUCGGGGCUCAACCCCGAAACUGCACUUGAUACUGUGGUGCUCGAGUACUGGAGAGGAGAUUGGAAUUUACGGUGUAGCAGUGAAAUGCGUAGAUAUCGUAAGGAAGACCAGUGGCGAAGGCGAAUCUCUGGACAGUUACUGACACUGAGGCACGAAGGCCAGGGGAGCAAACGGG